AGUCGUAACAAGGUCUCCGUUGGUGAACCAGCGGAGGGAUCAUUACCGAGUUUUCAACUCCCAAACCCUUAUGUGAACCUACCUAUCGUUGCUUCGGCGGACUCGCCCCAGCCGGACGCGGACUGGACCAGCGGCCGCCGGGGACCAUCAAACUCUUGUAUUAUCAGCAUCUUCUGAAUACGCCGCAAGGCAAAACAAAUAAAUUAAAACUUUCAACAACGGAUCUCUUGGCUCUGGCAUCGAUGAAGAACGCAGCGAAAUGCGAUAAGUAAUGUGAAUUGCAGAAUCCAGUGAAUCAUCGAAUCUUUGAACGCACAUUGCGCCCGCCAGCAUUCUGGCGGGCAUGCCUGUUCGAGCGUCAUUUCAACCCUCGACCUCCCUUUGGGGAAGUCGGCGUUGGGGACCGGCAGCACACCGCCGGCCCUGAAAUGGAGUGGCGGCCCGUCCGCGGCGACCUCUGCGUAGUAAACCAACUCGCACCGGAACCCCGACGUGGCCACGCCGUAAAACACCCAACUUCUGAACGUUGACCUCGAAUCAGGUAGGACUACCCGCUGAACUUAAGCAUAUCAAUAA
Molecule: unclassified non-coding RNA, 576 nt
Filed under: Beauveria pseudobassiana
Lineage: Eukaryota; Fungi; Ascomycota; Sordariomycetes; Hypocreales; Cordycipitaceae
Description: sequence contains 18S rRNA gene, ITS1, 5.8S rRNA gene, ITS2, 28S rRNA gene
Rfam family: 5.8S ribosomal RNA (bases 208-361)
Source: RNAcentral